ACUGAACUGAGUGAAAUGAAAUAUAAAUUGACAUGAAGAAAAUGUUCUCUUUGCAGCUAUGGAAGCAGCUAUACUUGUCCAAAGGUGAUUUUUAUCACUUCAGCAAACAGUAGUUUGGGUCACUAAUCACAUCAUCCCAUUCAGUGGCUGGACUUUCUAUAAAACUUUGGCAUAAAGAAGUAUACAAGAAGAUCCCCAAAGGUCUGCACAGAGUAAAAUACAUACUAAAGUAUUCCGUGGUAUUGGGUCUAAGCAGUUUGUAAAGGUCUUGGAGAACUUUCAGGAACACGUUUGUGGUGAAUGGGGCAUCUUAAGCCGGUAUCCAUUUGAAAUAUCUGGAUGCUUUUAAAGAAGACCUGAAGGACCUCAUUGUUAGAGACAAACCCUCAGUAUAGCUUCCAAGAAAAUGUGCUUCCCUCACCUGGCUGCAAGAAGAGCUAUGCUGAGACUGAUGCAGAGGCCAUACAUGCAGAAGAAUGAAUACAAAUUGGUUUUGGCAGAACUGGUCUUACACAGAUUCCCGCUGUGUCCACACUCUUAGUUCAGGGAGGCUUUCAGCUGCUGCCCUGGAUUAGACCUGGUGCCCUUGUAGUUCUGUU
This 599-nucleotide long non-coding RNA is filed under the name Dromaius novaehollandiae (emu). Its description in RNAcentral is "lncRNA (ENSDNVG00000000220.1)". Lineage: Eukaryota; Metazoa; Chordata; Aves; Casuariiformes; Dromaiidae. The record is from RNAcentral.